This 237-nucleotide ribosomal RNA is filed under the name uncultured bacterium. RNAcentral describes it as "partial 16S ribosomal RNA". It matches the Rfam family "Bacterial small subunit ribosomal RNA", at positions 103 to 334 of the family's 1533-position model. The record is from RNAcentral.
CGGGUGAGUAACACGUGAGUAAUCCACCCUUGGUACCGGGAUAGCUCGGGGAAACUCGAAUUAAUACCGGAUAGCCCAUGAGCUUUUCGAAGCGAAUGGAAAAGGUAGCUUCGGCCUCCGACCAAGGACGAGCUCGCGGCGGAUUAGCUUGUUGGCGGGGUAAUGGCCCACCAAGGCGACGAUCCGUAGCUGGUCUGAGAGGACGAUCAGCCACACUGGGACUGAGACACGGCCCAG